This 501-nucleotide ribosomal RNA is filed under the name uncultured bacterium. RNAcentral's name for it is "partial 16S ribosomal RNA". It matches the Rfam family "Bacterial small subunit ribosomal RNA", at positions 30 to 523 of the family's 1533-position model. The record is from RNAcentral.
AUUGAACGCUGGCGGCAGGCUUAACACAUGCAAGUCGAGCGGGGGAAGGUAGCUUGCUACCGGACCUAGCGGCGGACGGGUGAGUAAUGCUCAGGAAUCUGCCUAUUAGUGGGGGACAACAUCUCGAAAGGGAUGCUAAUACCGCAUACGUCCUACGGGAGAAAGCAGGGGAUCUUCGGACCUUGCGCUAAUAGAUGAGCCUAAGUCGGAUUAGCUAGUUGGUGGGGUAAAGGCCUACCAAGGCGACGAUCUGUAGCGGGUCUGAGAGGAUGAUCCGCCAAACUGGGACUGAGACACGGCCCAGACUCCUACGGGAGGCAGCAGUGGGGAAUAUUGGACAAUGGGGGGAACCCUGAUCCAGCCAUGCCGCGUGUGUGAAGAAGGCCUUAUGGUUGUAAAGCACUUUAAGCGAGGAGGAGGCUACUCUAGUUAAUACCUAGGGAUAGUGGACGUUACUCGCAGAAUAAGCACCGGCUAACUCUGUGCCAGCCGCCGCGGUAA